GGCUCGAUGAUUACAGCCCUGUUUGGGCAAUAUACGCUAUUCUGAUUUUUAAUUUAAAGAGGCUGAAACACUUCCGAGAAUGAGAGCU
Telopea speciosissima is the source of this 88-nucleotide small nucleolar RNA. RefSeq annotates it as small nucleolar RNA U54. The record is from RefSeq and is a predicted model, not a curated record. Lineage: Eukaryota; Viridiplantae; Streptophyta; Magnoliopsida; Proteales; Proteaceae. The transcript has a single exon.